This is a non-coding RNA of Acanthosepion pharaonis, 112 nucleotides long. NCBI's taxonomy places the organism in Eukaryota, Metazoa, Mollusca, Cephalopoda, Sepiida, Sepiidae. The record is from the annotation of a GenBank genome assembly.
UUACGGCCACAUCACAUUGAAACCCCCCCGUUUCUCGUGCGAUCACUGAAGUUAAGAAAACUUGAGCUUGGUCAGUACCUUGAUGGGUGACCACUUGGAAAUGCCAGGCGCU